GAUGAACGCUGGCGGCGUGCCUAAUACAUGCAAGUCGAGCGAACAGACGAGGAGCUUGCUCCUCUGACGUUAGCGGCGGACGGGUGAGUAACACGUGGAUAACCUACCUAUAAGACUGGGAUAACUUCGGGAAACCGGAGCUAAUACCGGAUAAUAUAUUGAACCGCAUGGUUCAAUAGUGAAAGACGGUUUUGCUGUCACUUAUAGAUGGAUCCGCGCCGCAUUAGCUAGUUGGUAAGGUAACGGCUUACCAAGGCAACGAUGCGUAGCCGACCUGAGAGGGUGAUCGGCCACACUGGAACUUAGACACGGUCCAGACUCCUACGGGAGACAGCAGUAGGGAAUCUUCCGCAAUGGGCGAAAGCCUGACGGAGCAACGCCGCGCGAGUGAUGAAGGUCUUCGGAUCGUAAAACUCUGUUAUUAGGGAAGAACAAAUGUGUAAGUAACUAUGCACGUCUUGACGGUACCUAAUCAGAAAGCCACGGCUAACUACGUG
RNAcentral lists this ribosomal RNA (497 nucleotides) under uncultured bacterium. RNAcentral describes it as "partial 16S ribosomal RNA". It matches the Rfam family "Bacterial small subunit ribosomal RNA", at positions 28 to 507 of the family's 1533-position model. The record is from RNAcentral.